ACGAUCCUCAUCCAAAAACUUUUAUAAACUUCUGGCUGUCAGCGAUCGUGCUGUAUAUAAUCUUUUAAAGCUUCAUUUUGACUCGGCGCUGACAAUCUGAGUACUGAUUCCAUUCCACUCAUCUAUCGCUAUCUGAGAACCAGUUUCUUCAUAUCUUCUUGUUAAAUCUAACUUUGUCAAGCUUGAACCCAUUAGUUUUUAUAUAUUGGUUACUAAUUCUAUGAAUUUUGUGUAUAUUCCGAUUUGCUGUCCGUAAGAGAGCGAGCAGCCUGUCAGUGAGGUCACUAAGUAGGAGGAGGCAGUAGACACCUGCCAAAACAUUAAUUACUCCCAGUGAGGUGUCGAACACAAGAUCAGGGGGUGCUGCGAACUUACCAGUGACCCAGCUGAGGCUGGGUCGUCUCAGCUGACUCAGUCUCAGUCGGACUCAGCUGGGGCGUCUACUCGAAACUAUCGCACUACAAGUUAUUUCAGUCAGUCGGAGGUGACUAUAGUACUUCACCUCACUGCAACACCACUCCUCGUUCUCCUUAUUUCUUUUACUAAUUCUCUGCUGACUUAACCUUCUGUCCCUGCCUCGCCAGACAUCGCCAGUAAACAGGUGGUAAUCUAGUUUGAGGCAAAGGGCUUACAUUAAGCUCUCGUCAAGAAGGUGAAAAUUGACUUAACAGGGAGAGGAUAGCGAGGUGAAGUUCCUUUCGGUCAAUGUUUGAGUCAAGAAUCGCGUCUGUAGUUGAUAAUGGUUCACGAUACAUUUUCUGGGUCGUCUCCUUGCUCUGGUUGAUCAGUAACAUUUUUCCGGUGUAACAAAAUACUAAAUCCCCAAAGGCAUGGUAAUCCUGAACCGAAAAUCGGCACCACGCAUGAUUCUUCGGCACAGCCAGGCGUAUGACAUUGUGUGAGUUCCGUCGGGCUGAUUCUUCCCUAUACGGUCUUCCCUUGGAGCUCCUCGUUCUAUAAUACUCAAAUCGUUUCUUACCGCGUCUUAAAAGUAUACAUUUUUGGUAUUAUAUAUCAGUUACUUGCCUCUUGAUGGCUGUGGUCCAGCGCGACAAGUUGGUCCGCUGCGCGGCGCUAACAGGUUACGGAGAGAGUUGACGGGUGGUUGUAAGCGCGGCUCGCCAUUUCCCCCACCCAGCCCGAGGAAGUUCGUAGACUUCUAGACUUGUGAUUAUGUAGCUUCGCCCUUAUAGUUAAAAAAAAAAAAAAAAAAGUACUCCAUGUUUUUACCGAGAUUAGUGUUGCGGGGAAUAUUGCAGAGUUGAUACAUGAAUGGGAGUUUUAGUACAAGUGAACAUUAAUUUGGCAACAACCACCUGUGAGUGUCUUGUGAUCGCGUAGUGCUGCCUCCAGGUGCUGGCAGGCCCCCUGUGGUGAUGGGGGCCGCGCUGCACAUCCUGCUGCUCAUCGCUCACGCAGCCCUCGCCGCCGCCACCAAGGCAGAUUAAGCGUUGCGUGCAUUGUUACCAGAACCAGUAGAGUAUUGCGUGUACAUCAGUGUUGCCAGAACCGAAUAAUGUGUUAACGUACAUCAUUGUUACCAGAACCGAGUAUCGCCUCUACAUCAGCGUUACCAGAACCGAGUAUUGCGUGUAUAUCAGUGUUACCAGUCAAAGCCACCAGCGUUACCAGAUGGAAGAGGAUUGAGAUGCGUGGAGGGAGACGCAAAGUGGAGGAAAGAGGAAGAAAACCCCCUCCAACUACCCUCCCAUUACUCUUCCAUCCACGACCACCCUCCCACGACCCUCCAGCGACCACCACGACCAGGAGGGAAUCGCGAGUCGUCCAGGUCGUCCUAACAAGACCCGAUGGCAGUCUGCAUGGCCAGUCUGCAUGGCCACGUCCUCCUACACCAGGUGCAGCUGCUUCUCCUCUUCCUCCUGCGUGCCACAUCACUUGGGUCUCCUGGUUCACGUUGAUGAGCAGCGGCCAACUGCACCGUCUGUGGGCCACACCUGUGCACCCUUGCUUACCUUGCACCACUAAUGAAGGACACCAAGCAGAGGUACAUCAAGAAGUUCACUUUCUGGGCUGAAGAGAGCUUGGCAGGAUUGUAAGAGCUGACCAAGACUGACUGACUGGCUUAGUGAUGUGUUGGCCUGUGUGUGUGUGUUUGAUAGUCUUCAAGUGCUGUAGGGGCAUGAGAGUGACUUGAAUGUAUGUGAGUAAAUGAUAGAUCAAGUGGUGUAGGGGAUGAGACAAGGUGACCUAAAGUUGAUGAUAGCAUGUUCAUGGGAGGUUUUUUUUUAUUGCAUUAUGAUUUGGAGAGAGAGAGAGAGAGAGAGAGAGAGAGAGAUCUACAUACAGUUAGACAAGCAGCAGUGCGUUGCAGAAGGUUGUCCUAACUUAUGGUCAUGCACGCUGUUUGGGUGGCGAGGCAGAGUUUAAAUGUGGCAACAUAGAACACCUCCGUGGAUUGGCAGGAAUUAGCGAGUCAGUGACGUUCACCAGCCGCACCACUGAGGGAGCCCCACAUCCAACCAAUACAACAAACAGCCCAGAGUCCCCAGACUGAAGAGGCCAACGAGGACGGUUUGGACGACCUACAGGAGGAACUAGUAACCUUGUUAAGAACAGCUCGGAAGGAAGUACGAGUAAUGCACAAUUGACACACUACAGGCAAGUAACUGCUGACCUGGAGGAUAAAAGGAGUGUGUCAGUGGAGGCCUUGUCAGUAGGGUGUCGGGCCAUCUCGGCCCAUCGCUGUCUCGGCCCAUUUCAAACGCCAACUCGGCCCAUUUAUAUGAGCAACUCGGACCAUCUGUACAAGCUAUACACCAUUGUCUUUAAGAGACUUUUUGCAUAAGGUUGAACUAAUUUAAUCCAAUAAUCACUCACUCACCAUCGCAAUUAGCAAUGAUAUGUAAAAUGUUGUAUAAAGUUUUCGGGAGAGACU
Molecule: RNA transcript, 2896 nt
Organism: Scylla paramamosain (green mud crab)
Lineage: Eukaryota; Metazoa; Arthropoda; Malacostraca; Decapoda; Portunidae
Exons: 4
Source: RefSeq, a predicted model, not a curated record